RNAcentral lists this ribosomal RNA (402 nucleotides) under Chloroflexota bacterium. Its description in RNAcentral is "bacterial SSU rRNA". It matches the Rfam family "Bacterial small subunit ribosomal RNA", at positions 1 to 403 of the family's 1533-position model. Lineage: Bacteria; Bacillati; Chloroflexota. The record is from RNAcentral.
UUUGUCGGAGAGUUUGAUCCUGGCUCAGGACAAACGCUGGCGGCGUGCAUAAAACAUGCAAGUCGAACGGACCAAUCCCCGCAAGGGGUGAGGUUAGUGGCGAACGGCUGAGUAACACGUAGGUGACCUGCCCCGAAGUGGGGGACAACUCGCCGAAAGGCGAGCUAAUACCGCAUGUGACCACCGGUUCGUUCCGGUGCUCAAAGCAGUAAUGCGCUUCGGGAGGGGCCUGCGGCGGAUUAGCUAGUUGGUGGGGUAAUGGCCUACCAAGGCUUCGAUCCGUAGCUGGUCUGAGAGGAUGACCAGCCAGACUGGGACUGAGACACGGCCCAGACUCCUACGGGAGGCAGCAGUUAGGAAUUUUGUGCAAUGGGGGAAACCCUGACACAGCCACGCCGCGUG